UCCGGGGAGGAAAGUGUUGAGGUUAAUAACCUCUCCAAUUGACAUUACCCCCAGAAAAAACACCCCCUAUCUCCCUGCCCCCACCCCCGGUAAUACGGAGGGGGCAAGCGUUAAUCGGAAUUACUGGGCGUAAAGCGCACGCAGGCGGUCUGUCAAGUCGGAUGUGAAAUCCCCGGGCUCAACCUGGGAACUGCAUUCGAAACUGUCAGGCUAGAGUCUUGUAGAGGGGGGUAGAAUUCCAGGUGUAGCGGUGAAAUGCGUAGAGAUCUGGAGGAAUACCGGUGGCGAAGGCGGCCCCCUGGACAAAGACUGACGCUCAGGUGCGAAAGCGUGGGGAGCAAACAGGAUUAGAUACCCUGGUAGUCCACGCCGUAAACGAUGUCGACUUGGAGGUUGUGCCCUUGAGGCGUGGCUUCCGGAGCUAACGCGUUAAGUCGACCGCCUGGGGAGUACGGCCGCAAGGUUAAAACUCAAAUGAAUUGACGGGGGCCCGCACAAGCGGUGGAGCAUGUGGUUUA
This 518-nucleotide ribosomal RNA is filed under the name Enterobacter mori. Its description in RNAcentral is "partial 16S ribosomal RNA". It matches the Rfam family "Bacterial small subunit ribosomal RNA", at positions 434 to 948 of the family's 1533-position model. Lineage: Bacteria; Pseudomonadati; Pseudomonadota; Gammaproteobacteria; Enterobacterales; Enterobacteriaceae. The record is from RNAcentral.